Molecule: unclassified non-coding RNA, 348 nt
Filed under: Hevea brasiliensis (rubber tree)
Lineage: Eukaryota; Viridiplantae; Streptophyta; Magnoliopsida; Malpighiales; Euphorbiaceae
Source: RNAcentral
UUAUGUUACGCAUGAAGUAGUGGUAAUUUCAAUAGACCAAAAAAACUUGUUUAUCCUAAGAGAUCCAAUACCUAAAUGUUGACUCAGAUUUCUGGACAUGAAAAGAGUAAUUAUUUUCUAUUUUCUCAUUGGAGAAAUUAUUGAAAUUGUUCUUUAAAGAGUUUGAGAUGUCAUCUAAAGUAAGAAAACAUAAAUCUCCCAGCAGCGUCCAAAAGCACUGGAGGCAGAACAUGUGAUCAAGAAUAGGCUCAAGCAGCCAUAUUAGGAGAAAUUAUAUCCAUUAAAAUGGCAUAACCAACCGAAUGGGAGUUCAUGUCAGAAAGAAACUGUAAAUUUUGGAACCUUAUG